UACGUAGGGUGCAAGCGUUGUCCGGAAUUAUUGGGCGUAAAGAGCUCGUAGGUGGUUUGUCGCGUUGUUCGUGAAAACCGGGGGCUUAACCCUCGGCGUGCGGGCGAUACGGGCAGACUGGAGUACUGCAGGGGAGACUGGAAUUCCUGGUGUAGCGGUGGAAUGCGCAGAUAUCAGGAGGAACACCGGUGGCGAAGGCGGGUCUCUGGGCAGUAACUGACGCUGAGGAGCGAAAGCGUGGGGAGCGAACAGG
RNAcentral lists this ribosomal RNA (253 nucleotides) under uncultured bacterium. RNAcentral's name for it is "partial 16S ribosomal RNA". It matches the Rfam family "Bacterial small subunit ribosomal RNA", at positions 524 to 776 of the family's 1533-position model. The record is from RNAcentral.